Molecule: non-coding RNA, 95 nt
Organism: Mycena epipterygia
Lineage: Eukaryota; Fungi; Basidiomycota; Agaricomycetes; Agaricales; Mycenaceae
Source: the annotation of a GenBank genome assembly
GACCUCGUGGGAGCACGGAUUCUCGCUCCGCCAUGAUAAUGAAUGUAGGAUGGAUAUUUCAGGGAGAGGCGGUGGUUCGAAUCCACCCGAGGACA